This 230-nucleotide ribosomal RNA is filed under the name uncultured bacterium. RNAcentral describes it as "partial 16S ribosomal RNA". It matches the Rfam family "Bacterial small subunit ribosomal RNA", at positions 127 to 353 of the family's 1533-position model. The record is from RNAcentral.
UGCCUUAUAGUGGGGGAUAGCCUUUCGAAAGGAAGAUUAAUACCGCAUAAGAUUGUAGUAUCGCAUGAUAUAGCAAUUAAAGGAGCAAUUCGCUAUAAGAUGGACCCGCGUCGCAUUAGCUAGUUGGUGAGGUAAUGGCUCACCAAGGCGACGAUGCGUAGCCGACCUGAGAGGGUGAUCGGCCACAUUGGGACUGAGACACGGCCCAGACUCCUACGGGAGGCAGCAUG